Molecule: ribosomal RNA, 253 nt
Filed under: uncultured bacterium
Lineage: Bacteria
Description: partial 16S ribosomal RNA
Rfam family: Bacterial small subunit ribosomal RNA
Source: RNAcentral
UACGUAGGGGGCAAGCGUUGUCCGGAAUUAUUGGGCGUAAAGCGCGCGCAGGCGGUUAAUUAAGUUGGGUGUUUAAGCCCGGGGCUCAACCCCGGUUCGCAUCCAAAACUGGUUGACUUGAGUGUAGGAGAGGAAAGUGGAAUUCCACGUGUAGCGGUGAAAUGCGUAGAGAUGUGGAGGAACACCAGUGGCGAAAGGCGACUUUCUGGCCUAUAACUGACGCUGAGGCGCGAAAGCGUGGGGAGCAAACAGG